This is a long non-coding RNA of Oreochromis niloticus (Nile tilapia), 732 nucleotides long. RefSeq lists it as uncharacterized. The transcript has 2 exons. The record is from RefSeq and is a predicted model, not a curated record. NCBI's taxonomy places the organism in Eukaryota, Metazoa, Chordata, Actinopteri, Cichliformes, Cichlidae.
GGCUUUUCUAACUGAGUGCCUCUCCGCGCAGCCUGUACUCUUCAAGCCCCAUCAAACACGAGUCCGUCGGUCUGGCUGCGCAAGGCAACUGAACACUACGAGCAGCGAGUGGUUAUUCCAGCCCAAACCUCCAACUUAGCAAACAGUGUUAGCUCUAAAUAUCAUCCCUGUCCGUCGGUAAGCGCUGCACUUUGCUUUCCGCUUCCUUCUGAGGACUUCAACUCGCGCUGGUCAAAUUGUCGGCAGACCAAAUACGGAGAAAUAAAACGAAAUAACGGACACGUCUCGGCUGAAAUGCACGGCUGUUGUUACUGUCUUUUGAGGAGGAGGGUGUCCGACACAGAGCUGUAGUUUCUCUUCCAAGAAGGCGAGGAAUGCAAGCUGAGCAUCAAUGUUUCACUGGGGCAAGUGGAAGAAGAGGAUGGGAGCCAACAGUUCUUCAAAGAGACCCGUUUUCGACGAAAAGGAAGAUGGGAGCAGCAGCUGUGAUGGUGACUAAUAAAGAAUAAAGAACCUCUGAUGAAGAUUACAUUAUCUCAGGAUUCAUAAUUAAUGUCCAAAUAUGACUAUAAAACCUUCGUGUUGCAAACUAAAGUCAUAUUAGCUCUUACAGAAAUGUUUGCGGUCCUCAGCAUAUUCCUCCUCCUCUCCUGUGUUAAAUACAAACUAUGCAUUUAACUGAGCUUCAGUUUGCUUUGGAUUUCCCUUUAAUAAAACCCUAGUUAAAGAAAA